Molecule: ribosomal RNA, 465 nt
Filed under: Streptococcus parasanguinis
Lineage: Bacteria; Bacillati; Bacillota; Bacilli; Lactobacillales; Streptococcaceae
Description: bacterial SSU rRNA
Rfam family: Bacterial small subunit ribosomal RNA
Source: RNAcentral
GAUGAACGCUGGCGGCGUGCCUAAUACAUGCAAGUAGAACGCUGAAGCUUGGUGCUUGCACCGAGCGGAGGAGUUGCGAACGGGUGAGUAACGCGUAGGUAACCUGCCUCUUAGCGGGGGAUAACUAUUGGAAACGAUAGCUAAUACCGCAUAAAAGUCGACAUUGCAUGAUGUUGACUUGAAAGGUGCAACUGCAUCACUAAGAGAUGGACCUGCGUUGUAUUAGCUAGUUGGUGAGGUAACGGCUCACCAAGGCGACGAUACAUAGCCGACCUGAGAGGGUGAUCGGCCACACUGGGACUGAGACACGGCCCAGACUCCUACGGGAGGCAGCAGUAGGGAAUCUUCGGCAAUGGACGGAAGUCUGACCGAGCAACGCCGCGUGAGUGAAGAAGGUUUUCGGAUCGUAAAGCUCUGUUGUAAGAGAAGAACGAGUGUGAGAGUGGAAAGUUCACACUGUGACGG